AGAGUUUGAUCCUGGCUCAGAUUGAACGCUGGCGGCAUGCUUUACACAUGCAAGUCGAACGGGGUUAAGGGGCUUGCUCCUUAAUCUAGUGGCGAACGGGUGAGUAAUGCAUCGGAACGUACCCGGGAGUGGGGGAUAACGCACCGAAAGGUGUGCUAAUACCGCAUAUUCUGUGAGCAGGAAAGCAGGGGACCUUAGGGCCUUGUGCUUCCGGAGCGGCCGAUGUCGGAUUAGCUAGUUGGUGAGGUAAAGGCUCACCAAGGCGACGAUCCGUAGCGGGUCUGAGAGGAUGAUCCGCCACACUGGGACUGAGACACGGCCCAGACUCCUACGGGAGGCAGCAGUGGGGAAUUUUGGACAAUGGGCGCAAGCCUGAUCCAGCCAUGCCGCGUGUCUGAAGAAGGCCU
RNAcentral lists this ribosomal RNA (407 nucleotides) under uncultured beta proteobacterium. RNAcentral's name for it is "bacterial SSU rRNA". It matches the Rfam family "Bacterial small subunit ribosomal RNA", at positions 8 to 417 of the family's 1533-position model. The record is from RNAcentral. Lineage: Bacteria; Pseudomonadati; Pseudomonadota; Betaproteobacteria.